UUACCGUACGAUCACGGAAGUUAAGCAACGUCGAGCCUGGUCAGUACCUAGAUAGGUGGCCGCUUGGGAAUACCAGGUACU
Acanthosepion pharaonis is the source of this 81-nucleotide non-coding RNA. Lineage: Eukaryota; Metazoa; Mollusca; Cephalopoda; Sepiida; Sepiidae. The record is from the annotation of a GenBank genome assembly.